RNAcentral lists this ribosomal RNA (449 nucleotides) under uncultured organism. RNAcentral's name for it is "partial 16S ribosomal RNA". It matches the Rfam family "Bacterial small subunit ribosomal RNA", at positions 335 to 800 of the family's 1533-position model. The record is from RNAcentral.
ACUCCUGCGGGAGGCAGCAGUGGGGAAUAUUGGACAGUGGGCGCAAGCCUGAUCCAGCCAUGCCGCGUGAGUGAUGAAGGCCCUAGGGUUGUAAAGCUCUUUCACCGGUGAAGAUAAUGACGGUAACCGGAGAAGAAGCCCCGGCUAACUUCGUGCCAGCAGCCGCGGUAAUACGAAGGGGGCUAGCGUUGUUCGGAUUUACUGGGCGUAAAGCGCACGUAGGCGGACUAUUAAGUCAGGGGUGAAAUCCCGGGGCUCAACCCCGGAACUGCCUUUGAUACUGGUAGUCUUGAGUUCGAGAGAGGUGAGUGGAAUUCCGAGUGUAGAGGUGAAAUUCGUAGAUAUUCGGAGGAACACCAGUGGCGAAGGCGGCUCACUGGCUCGAUACUGACGCUGAGGUGCGAAAGCGUGGGGAGCAAACAGGAUGAGAUACCCCAGUAGUCCGAUGA